CGGCCAAAAUAUGGUGUCGACACUAAGAAAGUGCCAUAAUGGCAUUCUAGGUGUGUGAUUUGUUGUUAAUUUUCUGAAAAUAUGCAGAAGAGAUAGGUGCAAAAACUUUCUUGUCCAAUUAAAAUGAAUUUGGUAACGUCUUAAAUGGAGCGAGUUCUUUUAAAGAAAAAAGGUUGAUGUACAUAUCUUGAAAAGUUAUUCAAAAUAAUGGCACUGUAUGCUUCCAUGCAGUUAUUUUAGUUGCGGUUCAAGUAGUUUUUUGGAAGACUAAAGAUGCAAAGUGCUACGACUUCUGCGUGACUGUUUCUUUUAACUUUCAAAAUUAUACUGUCUCAUGUUGUUGUAAAUUCUAACAAACCUGAAUUUUUGCCUUUUUUAUUUGAUCAG
This 387-nucleotide unclassified non-coding RNA is filed under the name Hevea brasiliensis (rubber tree). Lineage: Eukaryota; Viridiplantae; Streptophyta; Magnoliopsida; Malpighiales; Euphorbiaceae. The record is from RNAcentral.